RNAcentral lists this long non-coding RNA (1046 nucleotides) under Macaca fascicularis (crab-eating macaque). RNAcentral's name for it is "lncRNA (ENSMFAG00000055094.1)". Lineage: Eukaryota; Metazoa; Chordata; Mammalia; Primates; Cercopithecidae. The record is from RNAcentral.
UUUUUUUUAUUUUAGCACGUUGAGACUAUGUUAUUAAAUGUUUAGAAGUUUUAAAUUGUUUUAUCUUUCCAGUAAACUAUACCAUUUACCAUUAAAAUUACCAUUAGCAUUAAAAUUGUCUCAAAUAAUAAUGUUUCGCUCUUAAAUCUACUUUAUUGGAUAGUAAUAGCCAACCUAAUCCAAUGGUGUCUUUUGGUUAGUGUUUGCCUACUACAUACUUUUCCAUUCUUUUAUUUUCAACCAUUUGUGCCUUUGUGUUGUGAAUGUAUUAUCUUAGUAAUUCCCCAUUAAUUUUAACAUACUGACUCUCUUCUUCAAAAAUACAAGGACUUAAAAUGUUAUAAUUCUGAUCACCAACUUUGAUCAUACUUACAUAGUCAUUAUUGCUUUAUACAGUCUGAAAUACUUAAAAUAUCUUUUAUAUAAAUAUAUAUGAAUAUUACUAUUUGAAGUUACUUAGAGUUUAUUUCUACUGAGAGUUUCAGAGAAAAUUUCCAUUCUUCUUUUAGGAAUCCUCUGGUGAUGACCAGUGUGAAACCCAUUACUAUAAUAUGUUAAUUUCUUGGCAUGAGGUUUCCAGGACCAUGAAAGUAGUGUAAAGAACUCCAAAUCCACUUGGGGCAGGUCCACAAUAACAUAUUUUUAAAGAAGACUCCCCCAGCCCCACCUAGAGCCCAGAUCAAAAGAGACAAACUUUCCAGCAUUUUAUUUUGUGGGAAGCGGAUUUACCGUACAGUCCCGUUUACUAAUCAAAAGCCUCCUCUUUCAUGGCAGGGUCACAGAUCCAAUUCCCCAACCCACUUACACCCCCAGCCUUGUCUUCCGUCCCUGUGCAGUCAUUAAAAGAGACAUCUCUUGUUUACUGAGAUGGGCAAAUGCCACCAGGGGAGAUGCAGUAGUGAGUGACAACAUGAUCCUUGGGCAUUCAGCUUCCUCUUUAUUUACAUCUCCAAGGAUAUCUCUCACCUGCUUCUAAGUUCAGCUCUGCUGUGAUAUUAUCCAGCAUUUCCUGUUGUUUUGGAUCAGGAGGAUUUUCAGGUUAUCUU